AGGGGUAUAGCUCAGUGGUAGAGUACGUGCUUAGCAUUCACAAGGUUCUGGGUUCAAAACCCCAGUACCUCAA
This 73-nucleotide transfer RNA is filed under the name Camelus bactrianus (Bactrian camel). It matches the Rfam family "tRNA". From Rfam's summary of the family: Transfer RNA (tRNA) molecules are approximately 80 nucleotides in length. The record is from Rfam by way of RNAcentral. RNAcentral also lists the same sequence under 2 other names. Lineage: Eukaryota; Metazoa; Chordata; Mammalia; Artiodactyla; Camelidae.